AUUGAACGCUGGCGGCAUGCCUAACACAUGCAAGUCGAACGGCAGCACGGGAGCUUGCUCCUGGUGGCGAGUGGCGGACGGGUGAGUAAUGCAUAGGAAUCUGCCCAGUAGCGGGGGACAACUUGGGGAAACUCAAGCUAAUACCGCAUGCGCCCUACGGGGGAAAGCGGGGGACCUUCGGGCCUCGCACUAUUGGAUGAGCCUAUGUCAGAUUAGCUUGUUGGUGGGGUAACGGCCUACCAAGGCGACGAUCUGUAGCUGGUCUGAGAGGACGAUCAGCCACACUGGGACUGAGACACGGCCCAGACUCCUACGGGAGGCAGCAGUGGGGAAUAUUGCACAAUGGGCGAAAGCCUGAUGCAGCAAUGCCGCGUGUGUGAAGAAGGCCUGCGGGUUGUAAAGCACUUUCAGUAGGGAGGAAACAGUAGCCGGUUAAUAUCCGUUGCCUUGACGUUACUACAGAAGAAGCACCGGCUAACU
Molecule: ribosomal RNA, 480 nt
Filed under: uncultured bacterium
Lineage: Bacteria
Description: bacterial SSU rRNA
Rfam family: Bacterial small subunit ribosomal RNA
Source: RNAcentral